This 392-nucleotide long non-coding RNA is filed under the name Numida meleagris (helmeted guineafowl). Its description in RNAcentral is "lncRNA (ENSNMEG00000001507.1)". Lineage: Eukaryota; Metazoa; Chordata; Aves; Galliformes; Numididae. The record is from RNAcentral.
CUAUGGGGCUGGGGUGUUCUAUGGGGCUCCUAUGGGGCAUCCUAUGGGGCUUUGGUGUCCUAUGGGGCUGCUAUGGGGCUGCUAUGGGGCUGGGGUGUCCUAUGGGGCUGGGAUGCCCUAUGGGAACCCUAUGGGGCUGGCGUGUGCUAUGGAGCUGGGAUGCCCUAUGGGGCUGGGGUGUUCUAUGGCGCCCCCUAUGGGGAUGGGGUGCCCUAUGGGGCUGCUAUGGGGCUGGGAUGCCCUAUGGGGCUGCUAUGGGGCUGGGCUGUCCUAUAGGAACCCUAUGGGACUGAGUUGCCCUAUGGGGUUUUGGUGCCCUAUGGGGCCUCUAUGGGGCAUCCUAUGGGGCCGCUAUGGGGCUGGCUUCCCCCACGCGCCCCACAUCUCCCCCC